GCUCAUUCUAAACUUCCUCAGCCGUCUCAGGAAGAAGAGGCGUUGAUGUGCCUUCUUCAGGACUGCGUCAGUGUGUGUAGACCAGAUGCCAAACACGAGCUGGAUCCUGCUAGGAGAACAAUACUCUGCUGAACUCUGAGUGCUUUUCUUCAUUUGAGCUGAAUCAUGUACAACAUCAAUGUGACGUGUGGAGAGAUUGAGACUGAAUACAGACUUCAUGCUGAUUUACUGAACUACACCAAUAAUCCUGACUGUGAUCAGAGCUGGUAUUCACAGGGCAAGCGUCUGUUAGCAGAUCCAUCAGAUCCUCAAACACUGUUUGAUCCUGCUAUUUCUGUCUCGUCUGACCAUCUCUUCACUUCUCACUGUGUGGAUAAAGUUCAUCAUGAGAUCAUCUGUCAUUCUGCUGAAUUAAGAUAUGAGACUAUAUUUAGAGUGUUUAAUGGCACAGACUCCAUUAGCAGACCAAGACAAACUCCAGAAUCACAUCAGUUGUGGUGGAUUUCUGCCCUGAUCUUCAUUGUUCUUCUGGUUUUGAUCUGUUUCUUCUUGCGUAAAAGGAUCUCCAAUUGUAUUUCGAGAACAGUUACAAGCAUAUUUCAGCGCAAUGAUUCAGAAAACAG
Long non-coding RNA from Cyprinus carpio carpio, 623 nucleotides. Lineage: Eukaryota; Metazoa; Chordata; Actinopteri; Cypriniformes; Cyprinidae. The record is from Ensembl.